RNAcentral lists this ribosomal RNA (253 nucleotides) under uncultured bacterium. RNAcentral's name for it is "partial 16S ribosomal RNA". It matches the Rfam family "Bacterial small subunit ribosomal RNA", at positions 524 to 776 of the family's 1533-position model. The record is from RNAcentral.
UACAGAGGUCCCAAGCGUUGUUCGGAUUCAUUGGGCGUAAAGGGUGCGUAGGCGGCGCGGUAAGUCGGGUGUGAAAUCUCGGAGCUUAACUCCGAAACUGCAUUCGAUACUGCCGUGCUUGAGGACUGGAGAGGAGACUGGAAUUUACGGUGUAGCGGUGAAAUGCGUAGAUAUCGUAAGGAAGACCAAUGGCGAAGGCAGCUCGCUGGGACGGUACUGACGCUGAGACGCGAAAGCGUGGGGAGCAAACAGG